AUCCAGCUGAAAAGUCCUAAAUAGGACCAAACAUGCGUCCUGGGU
RNAcentral lists this non-coding RNA (45 nucleotides) under Schistosoma curassoni. The record is from RNAcentral. Lineage: Eukaryota; Metazoa; Platyhelminthes; Trematoda; Strigeidida; Schistosomatidae.